RNAcentral lists this ribosomal RNA (252 nucleotides) under uncultured Bacteroidales bacterium. Its description in RNAcentral is "partial 16S ribosomal RNA". It matches the Rfam family "Bacterial small subunit ribosomal RNA", at positions 524 to 776 of the family's 1533-position model. The record is from RNAcentral. Lineage: Bacteria; Pseudomonadati; Bacteroidota; Bacteroidia; Bacteroidales.
UACGGAGGAUGCGAGCGUUAUCCGGAUUUAUUGGGUUUAAAGGGUGCGCAGGCGGUCUGUUAAGUCAGCGGUAAAAUGUCCGGGCUCAACCCGGGCCGGCCGUUGAAACUGGGGAUCUUGAGUGGGCGAGAAGUAUGCGGAAUGCGUGGUGUAGCGGUGAAAUGCAUAGAUAUCACGAAGAACCCCGAUUGCGAAGGCAGCCUGCCGCAGCGUUACUGACGCUGAAGCUCGAAAGCGCGGGUAUCGAACAGG